This 428-nucleotide ribosomal RNA is filed under the name uncultured bacterium. RNAcentral's name for it is "partial 16S ribosomal RNA". It matches the Rfam family "Bacterial small subunit ribosomal RNA", at positions 354 to 796 of the family's 1533-position model. The record is from RNAcentral.
GUGGGGAAUAUUGGGCAAUGGGGGCAACCCUGACCCAGCAACGCCGCGUGAGGGAAGAAGGUUUUCGGAUUGUAAACCUCUGUCCUAUGGGAAGAAGGAAGUGACGGUACCAUAGGAGGAAGCCCCGGCUAACUACGUGCCAGCAGCCGCGGUAAUACGUAGGGGGCGAGCGUUGUCCGGAAUUACUGGGCGUAAAGGGUGCGCAGGUGGCCUGACAAGUCAGAUGUGAAAUACCGAUGCUUAACGUCGGGGCUGCAUUUGAAACUAUGAGGCUGGAGUGCAGGAGAGGGAAGCGGAAUUCCUAGGGUAGCGGUGAAAUGCAUAGAUAUUAGGAGGAACACCAGUGGCGAAGGCGGCUUUCUGGACUGUAACUGACACUGAGGCACGAAAGCGUGGGGAGCAAACAGGAUUAGAAACCCCGGUAGUCC